UGGGGAAUCUUGGACAAUGGGCGCAAGCCUGAUCCAGCCAUGCCGCGUGAGUGAAGAAGGCCUUCGGGUUGUAAAGCUCUUUUACCAGGGACGAUAAUGACGGUACCCUCAAAGGAAGCACCGGCUAACUCCGUGCCAGCAGCCGCGGUAAUACAGAGGGUGCGAGCGUUAAUCGGAAUUACUGGGCGUAAAGCGCACGUAGGUGGCGACGUAAGUCGGGUGUGAAAUCCCCGGGCUCAACCUGGGAACCGCAUUCGAGACUGUGUUGCUGGAGUACGGAAGAGGAGGGCGGAAUUCCCGGUGUAGCGGUGAAAUGCGUAGAUAUCGGGAGGAACAUCAGUGGCGAAGGCGGCCCUCUGGUCCAGUACUGACACUCAAGUGCGAAAGCGUGGGGAGCAAACAGGAUUAGAUACCCAAGUAGUCCCUGAGCGGGCUGGCAAGGCGCAU
This 447-nucleotide ribosomal RNA is filed under the name uncultured bacterium. RNAcentral describes it as "bacterial SSU rRNA". It matches the Rfam family "Bacterial small subunit ribosomal RNA", at positions 355 to 825 of the family's 1533-position model. The record is from RNAcentral.